GACGAACGCUGGCGGCGUGCUUAACACAUGCAAGUCGAACGGAAAGGCCCCUUUGGGGGUACUCGAGUGGCGAACGGGUGAGUAACACGUGAGUAACCUGCCCUUGACUUCGGGAUAACUUCAGGAAACUGGGGCUAAUACCGGAUAGGAAUCCUUGCUGCAUGGUGGGGGUUGGAAAGCUUCGGCGGUUUUGGAUGGACUCGCGGCUUAUCAGCUUGUUGGUGGGGUAGUGGCUUACCAAGGCUUUGACGGGUAGCCGGCCUGAGAGGGCGACCGGCCACAUUGGGACUGAGAUACGGCCCAGACUCCUACGGGAGGCAGCAGUGGGGAAUUUUGCACAAGGGGCGGCAGCCUGAUGCAGCAAGGCCGCGUGCGGGAUGACGGCCUUCGGGUUGUAAACCGCUUUCAGCAGGGGCGAAGCUUGUGGUGACGGUACCUGCAGAAGAAGCACCGGCUAACUACGUG
This 465-nucleotide ribosomal RNA is filed under the name uncultured bacterium. RNAcentral describes it as "partial 16S ribosomal RNA". It matches the Rfam family "Bacterial small subunit ribosomal RNA", at positions 28 to 507 of the family's 1533-position model. The record is from RNAcentral.